RNAcentral lists this ribosomal RNA (433 nucleotides) under uncultured bacterium. RNAcentral's name for it is "partial 16S ribosomal RNA". It matches the Rfam family "Bacterial small subunit ribosomal RNA", at positions 29 to 507 of the family's 1533-position model. The record is from RNAcentral.
AGCGAACGCUGGCGGCAGGCCUAACACAUGCAAGUCGAACGAACUCUUCGGAGUUAGUGGCGGACGGGUGAGUAACACGUGGGAACGUGCCUUUAGGUUCGGAAUAACUCAGGGAAACUUGUGCUAAUACCGAAUGUGCCCUUCGGGGGAAAGAUUUAUCGCCUUUAGAGCGGCCCGCGUCUGAUUAGCUAGUUGGUGAGGUAAAGGCUCACCAAGGCGAGGAUCAGUAGCUGGUCUGAGAGGAUGAUCAGCCACAUUGGGACUGAGACACGGCCCAAACUCCUACGGGAGGCAGCAGUGGGGAAUCUUGCGCAAUGGGCGAAAGCCUGACGCAGCCAUGCCGCGUGAAUGAUGAAGGUCUUAGGAUUGUAAAAUUCUUUCACCGAGGACGAUAAUGACGGUACCCGGAGAAGAAGCCCCGGCUAACUUCGUG